ACCCGCUGAACUUAAGCAUAUCAAUAAGCGGAGGACAAGAAACCAACUGGGAUUGCCUCAGUAACGGCGAGUGAAGCGGCAACAGCUCAAAUUUGAAAUCUGGCUCCCUCGGGGUCCGAGUUGUAAUUUGUAGAGGAUGCUUCGGGCGCGGCGCUGGUCCAAGUUCCUUGGAACAGGACGUCAGAGAGGGUGAGAAUCCCGUACGUGACUGUGCGCCGCCCGUCCGUGUGAAGCUCCUUCGACGAGUCGAGUUGUUUGGGAAUGCAGCUCCAAGUGGGUGGUAAAUUUCAUCUAAAGCUAAAUAUGGGCCAGAGACCGAUAGCGCACAAGUAGAGUGAUCGAAAGAUGAAAAGCACUUUGGAAAGAGAGUUAAACAGCACGUGAAAUUGUUGAAAGGGAAGCGCUUGCAACCAGACUUGCGCGCAGCCGAUCACCCGGGGUUCUCCCCGCUGCACUCGGUUGCGCUCAGGCCAGCAUCGGUUUGGGUGGUCGGACAAAGGUCGUGGGAAUGUGGCUUCCUUCGGGGAGUGUUAUAGCCUGCGGCGGCAUGCGACCUACCUGGACCGAGGAACGCGCUCCGGCUAGGAUGCUGGCGUAAUGGUUGUAAGCGACCCGUCUUGAAACACGGACCAAGGAGUCUAAUAUUUAUGCGAGUAUUUGGGUGUCAAACCCGGGUGCGCAAUGAAAGUGAACGGAGGUGAGAACCCGCGAGGGUGCAUCAUCGACCGAUCCUGAUGUCUUCGGAUGGAUUUGAGUAAGAGCAUAGCUAUUGGGACCCGAAAAAGAGUGAACUUUACGUGAAUAGGGUGAAGUCAGAGGAAACUCUGAUGGAGGCUCGCAGCGGUUCUGACGUGCAAAUCGAUCGUCAAAUUUG
Molecule: ribosomal RNA, 874 nt
Filed under: Lawreyella lobariella
Lineage: Eukaryota; Fungi; Ascomycota; Leotiomycetes; Helotiales; Cordieritidaceae
Description: partial large subunit ribosomal RNA
Rfam family: Eukaryotic large subunit ribosomal RNA
Source: RNAcentral